This is a long non-coding RNA of Patella vulgata (common limpet), 514 nucleotides long. RefSeq lists it as uncharacterized. The record is from RefSeq and is a predicted model, not a curated record. The transcript has 3 exons. NCBI's taxonomy places the organism in Eukaryota, Metazoa, Mollusca, Gastropoda, Patellidae.
GGAGUAAAGAGAUUUGGGUAUGGUGAUAGAUACAUAUGUCAUUGUGAUGGAGGAGAUUGUCAAGCUGAUAACGGUAUCUGUUCUAGUGGUAACUGCCAGAAAGGAUGGUACGGUUCUUCAUGCCAAAAAGAAAAUGUCGCCUUAAACAAACAGACGUGGCAGAGUUCAACCUAUUAUGACCAGAAUCUGUUACGACAUUCUAGUUAUGCUGUAGAUGGUGAUACUAAUCAUAGCAAGGAAUAUAAUUACUGUACCCAUACUGGUGUUGGCAGAACAAAUGCUUCAUGGGGAGUAGAUUUAAACCGAAAUUAUCCCAUUGAAAAUAUCAAAAUAUACGCAAGGAAUCACCAUAUUGGCAACAGAUUUGCAGGAUUCCGAUUAUUCGUAGAUGAACUUAACAAAACAAAUGAAAGUCCAUGUAGACCAGAAGAUGAUUAUAACAAUACAGUUGAUGGGUUUAUGGUAAAUUGUAACAGUGUAGGAAGAUAUGUUACUAUUACCAAUAACAAGUCUA